This 57-nucleotide transfer RNA is filed under the name Paratemnoides elongatus. RNAcentral's name for it is "tRNA-Leu". Lineage: Eukaryota; Metazoa; Arthropoda; Arachnida; Pseudoscorpiones; Atemnidae. The record is from RNAcentral.
UUUAAUAGAGCUGAAAUUUAGCAUAGGAUUUAAGAUUCUAAAUUUGAAUUAAUAGUG